Molecule: long non-coding RNA, 362 nt
Filed under: Mytilus galloprovincialis (Mediterranean mussel)
Lineage: Eukaryota; Metazoa; Mollusca; Bivalvia; Mytilida; Mytilidae
Source: RNAcentral
CAACAAAUAUUUCUUUGACAAUUUUGACAGGCUCUACUGAACAAAAUGAUUUAAUAUUUAGCCAGAAACUUAUUAGUGAUGGCUUUUAAUGUGUGUUUUUUUCCUGAUUUGCCAAACACAGUCAAGUUUCUGUUUGACAAUAAGUUGCACCUUGAAUUUUGAGCUGUAAUGUGGGAUAUGUGCGCAUUGCAUUUGUGCCAAUUUUUUUUUUACAAAAUCCAAUCUUUAAUUUGCGUCAAAUAAAUAAUCUACAUCUGCAACAGUAAUAGUGAAGAUAAAGUACGACAAAACACUAUAUUGGUGUAUUUGCAUUGAUAAAGUCGCAAAAAACACUAUAUUGGUGUAUUUGCAUUGAUAAAGUA